This 460-nucleotide ribosomal RNA is filed under the name uncultured bacterium. Its description in RNAcentral is "partial 16S ribosomal RNA". It matches the Rfam family "Bacterial small subunit ribosomal RNA", at positions 338 to 795 of the family's 1533-position model. The record is from RNAcentral.
CCUACGGGAGGCAGCAGUGAGGAAUAUUGGUCAAUGGGCUUACGCCUGAACCAGCCAAGUCGCGUGAGGGAAGACUGCCCUAUGGGUUGUAAACCUCUUUUGUCAGGGAGCAACGCCGGCUACGUGUAGCCGGACUGAGAGUACCUGAAGAAAAAGCAUCGGCUAACUCCGUGCCAGCAGCCGCGGUAAUACGGAGGAUGCGAGCGUUAUCCGGAUUUAUUGGGUUUAAAGGGUGCGUAGGCGGAAUGCCAAGUCAGCGGUAAAAUCGCGGGGCAAAACCUCGCUCCGCCGUUGAAACUGGCGGUCUUGAGUGGGCGAGAGGUAUGCGGAAUGCGUGGUGUAGCGGUGAAAUGCAUAGAUAUCACGCAGAACUCCGAUUGCGAAGGCAGCAUACCGGCGCCCAACUGACGCUGAGGCACGAAAGCGUGGGUAUCGAACAGGAUUAGAUACCCCAGUAGUC